UCCGUGCUGCAUCUUCCUGCUG
RNAcentral lists this unclassified non-coding RNA (22 nucleotides) under Mus musculus (house mouse). Its description in RNAcentral is "oocyte_clustered_small_RNA10155". The record is from RNAcentral. Lineage: Eukaryota; Metazoa; Chordata; Mammalia; Rodentia; Muridae.